RNAcentral lists this ribosomal RNA (257 nucleotides) under uncultured bacterium. RNAcentral describes it as "partial 16S ribosomal RNA". It matches the Rfam family "Bacterial small subunit ribosomal RNA", at positions 524 to 777 of the family's 1533-position model. The record is from RNAcentral.
UACGUAGGGUGCAAGCGUUGUCCGGAAUUAUUGGGCGUAAAGAGCUCGUAGGCGGUCUGUCGCGUCGAAUGUGAAAAUCCGGGGCUCAACCCCGGACCUGCAUUCGAUACGGGCAGACUAGAGUUCGGUAGGGGAGUCUGGAAUUCCUGGUGUAGCGGUGAAAUGCGCAGGAUAUCAGGAGGAACACCGGUGGCGAAGGCGGGACUCUGGGCCGAUGACUGACGCUGGAGGAGCGAAAGCGUGGGGAGCAAACAGGA